RNAcentral lists this ribosomal RNA (497 nucleotides) under uncultured bacterium. RNAcentral's name for it is "partial 16S ribosomal RNA". It matches the Rfam family "Bacterial small subunit ribosomal RNA", at positions 28 to 507 of the family's 1533-position model. The record is from RNAcentral.
GAUGAACGCUGGCGGCGUGCCUAAUACAUGCAAGUCGAGCGAACGGACGAGAAGCUUGCUUUUCUGAUGUUAGCGGCGGACGGGUGAGUAACACGUGGAUAACCUACCUAUAAGACUGGGAUGACUUCGGGAAACCGGAGCUAAUACCGGAUAAUAUUUUGAACCGCAUGGUUCAAAAGUGAAAGACGGUCUUGCUGUCACUUAUAGAUGGAUCCGCGCUGCAUUAGCUAGUUGGUAAGGUAACGGCUUACCAAGGCAACGAUGCAUAGCCGACCUGAGAGGGUGAUCGGCCACACGGGAACUGAGACACGGUCCAGACUCCUACGGGAGGCAGCAGUAGGGAAUCUUCCGCAAUGGGCGAAAGCCUGACGGAGCAACGCCGCGUGAGUGAUGAAGGUCUUCGGAUCGUAAAACUCUGUUAUUAGGGAAGAACAUAUGUGUAAGUAACUGUGCACAUCUUGACGGUACCUAAUCAGAAAGCCACGGCUAACUACGUG